RNAcentral lists this ribosomal RNA (306 nucleotides) under uncultured bacterium. Its description in RNAcentral is "partial 16S ribosomal RNA". It matches the Rfam family "Bacterial small subunit ribosomal RNA", at positions 507 to 807 of the family's 1533-position model. The record is from RNAcentral.
GACAGCAGCCGCCACGGGAAUACGUAGGGUGCAAGCGUUAAUCGGAAUUACUGGGCGUAAAGCGUGCGCAGGCGGUUAUAUAAGACAGAUGUGAAAUCCCCGGGCUCAACCUGGGAACUGCAUUUGUGACUGUAUAGCUAGAGUACGGCAGAGGGGGAUGGAAUUCCGCGUGUAGCAGUGAAAUGCGUAGAUAUGCGGAGGAACACCGAUGGCGAAGGCAAUCCCCUGGGCCUGUACUGACGCUCAUGCACGAAAGCGUGGGGAGCAAACAGGAUUAGAUACCCCAGUAGUCCCUGUCUCUUAUAC